ACGAACGCUGGCGGCGUGCUUAACACAUGCAAGUCGAACGGAAAGGCCCUGCUUGCAGGGUACUCGAGUGGCGAACGGGUGAGUAACACGUGGGUGAUCUGCCCUGCACUUCGGGAUAAGCCUGGGAAACUGGGUCUAAUACCGGAUAGGAGCCAUUUUUAGUGUGAUGGUUGGAAAGUUUUUUCGGUGUAGGAUGAGCUCGCGGCCUAUCAGCUUGUUGGUGGGGUAAUGGCCUACCAAGGCGGCGACGGGUAGCCGGCCUGAGAGGGUGGACGGCCACAUUGGGACUGAGAUACGGCCCAGACUCCUACGGGAGGCAGCAGGGGGGAAUAUUGCACAAUGGGCGCCAGCCUGAUGCAGCGACGCCGCGUGGGGGAUGACGGCCUUCGGGUUGUAAACUCCUUUCGCUAGGGACGAAGCUUUUUGUGACGGUACCUAGAGAAGAAGCACCGGCUAACUACGUG
This 464-nucleotide ribosomal RNA is filed under the name uncultured bacterium. RNAcentral describes it as "partial 16S ribosomal RNA". It matches the Rfam family "Bacterial small subunit ribosomal RNA", at positions 29 to 507 of the family's 1533-position model. The record is from RNAcentral.